This is a non-coding RNA of Pelobates cultripes (western spadefoot toad), 446 nucleotides long. Lineage: Eukaryota; Metazoa; Chordata; Amphibia; Anura; Pelobatidae. The record is from the annotation of a GenBank genome assembly.
ACAAAAAUGUGCUUUGAAUUCCGAAUACCCUGAGCUGAAUUGGAGAGUGUUUUUAUUUUAACUCUUUUAGUCAAAAAUUUGAAAUAGCUUUGCUAGUUAUAUUCAAUUUCCAGUUUGGCGAAUAACCCGGCAUCUGUUUUUAUAGGUUUGAUUCUCUUACAGUCUGUUCAUAGACGUGUUAGUUGUUACCUGGUAGUAUAUAUUUGCACUUAAAGGACACCAUAGCUCGCUGUACUGGUUACAAAAGUUCCAGUUUAUGAGCUUUUAUUCAUUUCCUGAGCUAAUCUCUGCACUGCAGUGCUGAUCGCUGUCAGUCAAGGAGUUAAACCCUGCACUGCCAUGCCUAGCUCAAUGUAAAGAGUAGGUGCGGAGUGGCCCUUAGCUGACCCUAACUAACAAGUCAAACCGCUAGUAUCAAAGUAGAACUGUCACCUGCUGUUUUAAAU